This 293-nucleotide long non-coding RNA is filed under the name Gallus gallus (chicken). RNAcentral's name for it is "lncRNA (ENSGALG00010020774.1)". The record is from RNAcentral. Lineage: Eukaryota; Metazoa; Chordata; Aves; Galliformes; Phasianidae.
GGAAAGCUGGCAUUGCCCCCGUGGGGAUUUUCUUGCCUUCUCCAGACAUGACAUCCAACGCGGACAUCCCAGUCGACAGCGCGGAGAUCGAUGAUAUCCUGUCGUGGAUCAGCAACGACGGGACACCCAGCUCAGGCAUUCCAGAUGACAGCCUGGAACUCGACGGUUUGCUCAGCUGGAUCGUUGGUGAGUUCAGGGGCCGCAGCGGUGGCGGAUGGAUGUCCGCGCCGAGUGGCUGUGGGAAGGCUGCCGUCCUGGUUUUGGGGGAUGUUCUUUGUUUUGCAGAAGCGUCG